Molecule: ribosomal RNA, 551 nt
Filed under: Dujonia zeylanoides
Lineage: Eukaryota; Fungi; Ascomycota; Pichiomycetes; Serinales; Debaryomycetaceae
Description: eukaryotic LSU rRNA
Rfam family: Eukaryotic large subunit ribosomal RNA
Source: RNAcentral
GGGAUUUGCCUCAGUACGGCGAGUGAAGCGGCAAAAGCUCAAAUUUGAAAUCUAGCACUUUCAGUGUUCGAGUUGUAAUUUGAAGAAGGUAACUUUGGUUUUGGCUCUUGUCUAUGUUCCUUGGAACAGGACGUCACAGAGGGUGAGAAUCCCGUGCGAUGAGAUGCCCAAUUCCAUGUAAAGUGCUUUCGAAGAGUCGAGUUGUUUGGGAAUGCAGCUCUAAGUGGGUGGUAAAUUCCAUCUAAAGCUAAAUAUUGGCGAGAGACCGAUAGCGAACAAGUACAGUGAUGGAAAGAUGAAAAGAACUUUGAAAAGAGAGUGAAAAAGUACGUGAAAUUGUUGAAAGGGAAGGGCUUGAGAUCAGACUUGGUAUUUUGCGUUCCCUUCCUUUUUGGUUGGGUUCCUCGCAGUUUACUGGGCCAGCAUCGGUUUGGAUGGUAGGAUAAUGACAUUGGAAUGUAGCUUUACUUCGGUGAAGUGUUAUAGACUUUGUUGAUACUGCCUAUCUAGACCGAGGACUGCGUCUUUGACUAGGAUGCUGGCGUAAUGAU